GUACGUGAAUUCCUAUUAAUUCAAUAUUUGCGAAGGGAAGCGAAAGGACAAAGAUGCGUUAGGACAGCCGCAGCGUGCGGACAAACAAAAGAUAUCAAGAAUUUCAUUUCUUGGCGGCCGUGGAGGCGGCAAUUGAAGUGAGGAGCUGUAGCUAAGAAGAGGAUGGCCAAAAGACGACAACAGCCAACACUGGAAGAGUUGGGGGAGACACAACGCAUUUGGCUAACAUAAAGAAAAUGCCAGUGAAUUAGCGGGCAGUCAGAGAUGGAGGAGAGCUAGCGGCGACAGAGUUCCAGGACCAAGGAGCAGCAGAUGGCGUCAGUGUCAGCGGCAAGCAUAAGAAAUGUGUCCCAAGCAAUUAGUGUUCCGGCCUUUGGAGCGGAUUCCACUUUCAUUAUGUGGGUUUUUUAAAUUUAACAACUUUGUAAACAAAAGCUAAUCGAUCAAGGGUUUUUAAAAUAAAUUAAACAAGUAAAUGUGAGUUUU
This 486-nucleotide long non-coding RNA is filed under the name Drosophila melanogaster (fruit fly). RNAcentral describes it as "long non-coding RNA:CR44916 (Dmel_CR44916)". The record is from RNAcentral. Lineage: Eukaryota; Metazoa; Arthropoda; Insecta; Diptera; Drosophilidae.